RNAcentral lists this ribosomal RNA (497 nucleotides) under uncultured bacterium. RNAcentral's name for it is "partial 16S ribosomal RNA". It matches the Rfam family "Bacterial small subunit ribosomal RNA", at positions 28 to 507 of the family's 1533-position model. The record is from RNAcentral.
GAUGAACGCUGGCGGCGUGCCUAAUACAUGCAAGUCGAGCGAACGGACGAGAAGCUUGCUUUUCUGAUGUUAGCGGCGGACGGGUGAGUAACACGUGGAUAACCUACCUAUAAGACUGGGAUAACGUCGGGAAACCGGAGCUAAUGCCGGAUAAUAUUUUGAACCGCAUGGUUCAAAAGUGAAAGACGGUCUUGCUGUCACUUAUAGACGGAUCCGCGCUGCAGUAGCUAGUUGGUAAGGUAACGGCUUACCAAGGCGACGAUGCCUAGCCGACCUGAGAGGGUGAUCGGCCACACUGGGUCGGAGACCCGGUCCAGACUCCUACGGGAGGCAGCCGUCGGGAAUCUGCCGCAAUGGGCGAAAGCCUGACGGAGCAACGCCGCGUGAGUGAUGAAGGUCUUCGGAUCGUAAAACUCUGUUAUUAGGGAAGACCAUAUGUGUAAGUAGCUGUGCACAUCUUGACGGUACUUAAUCAGAAAGCCCCGGCUAACUACGUG